GUGGAAGGAAGCCAGGAUACUUCAUGUCUCUGUUCCCUUGACUACCUGUCAUAGAGUUAGUUCUGGGGAUCUGAAGUGUGAAAUCAAGGUAUCAACGGUGUUGGUUUCAUGAAGCUCUGAGGAGGAAUGUUCCAUGUUUCUCUCCUAACUUCCGCACAGAAAUACAUUACUAGAAGCAUAACAGACAAUGACUGGAAAUUAAUUAUGGAAUAUUCUUAUCUCUGAAAGUAGCUGCUCGGGAAAAGAAAACCUUCUGCAGGAAAUGGUCAUAAUUUGGAACACUAAAAUUCUAUUCACUGAAUGGAAGUAACAUUGUCUUAUGC
This 323-nucleotide long non-coding RNA is filed under the name Callithrix jacchus (white-tufted-ear marmoset). RNAcentral's name for it is "lncRNA (ENSCJAG00000081228.1)". The record is from RNAcentral. Lineage: Eukaryota; Metazoa; Chordata; Mammalia; Primates; Cebidae.